CCUACGGGAGGCAGCAGUGAGGAAUAUUGGUCAAUGGGCGGAAGCCUGAACCAGCCAAGUAGCGUGCGGGAUGAAGGCCCUACGGGUCGUAAACCGCUUUUGUACGGGGAUAACACCCUCUACUUGUGGAGGUCUGCAGGUACCGUGCGAAUAAGGGCCGGCUAAUUCCGUGCCAGCAGCCGCGGUAAUACGGAAGGCCCGGGCGUUAUCCGGGUUUCUUGGGCUUAAAGGGGGCGUAGGCGGGCGUUCAAGUCAGCUGUAAAAUCGCGCGGCUCAACCGCGCCCCGCAGUUGAAACUGGCGGCCUUGAGUUCGCAAAAGGCAGGCGGAAUGCGUGGUGUAGCGGUGAAAUGCAUAGAGAUGACGAAGAACCCCGAUUGCGAAGGCAGCCUGCCGGGGUGUAACUGACGCUGAGGCUCGAAGGUGCGGGUAUCGAACAGGAUUAGAUACCCGUGUAGUC
Molecule: ribosomal RNA, 459 nt
Filed under: uncultured bacterium
Lineage: Bacteria
Description: partial 16S ribosomal RNA
Rfam family: Bacterial small subunit ribosomal RNA
Source: RNAcentral